RNAcentral lists this long non-coding RNA (662 nucleotides) under Gallus gallus (chicken). Its description in RNAcentral is "long non-coding RNA NONGGAT009405". The record is from RNAcentral. Lineage: Eukaryota; Metazoa; Chordata; Aves; Galliformes; Phasianidae.
CUCACCUAUUUUCUUUCCAUCUGCAGAAAUUCAAGCGGUCAGCUCUGCCUUUUUUACCAUUCAACACACACUUCUGAGCUGAAUAACCCCAAGUAUGGUGCCUCUAAGAAAGUGAAGUGCAGCGGUAUCUCAGAAGCAUCCGGAGCACAGCAGGGCUGUACGUACCAAUUUCUGUCACAGCAGUACUUCUUCACGUGGAAUCUCCUGGUUAUUUCUUCAGCAUUUAAAGCUCCGGGCAAAUCCUGCUUGUUUGCUAGCACGAUGACCGGUACGUUUUUUAUAGAUUCAUUCUUUAAAAGGAGUUCAAAUUCUUUCUUUGAUUCCUCUAAGCGUUGCUUAUCAGCGCUGUCCACAACAUACAGGAGUGCUUCUGCAUUUUCCAGGAAAUUGCACCAACGCUGCCUCAUUUUCUCUUGUCCUCCAACAUCCCAAAAAGUCAGUGUAAAAUCUUUCCCAGUUUCGAUCAUAUCGACAUUAAAGCCGAUUGUUGGAAUUGUUAGAAAAACUUCAUCAGACUUGAACUUGUACAACAGAGUAGAUUUCCCUGCAGAAUCAAGUCCUAACAUCAGUAUAUUAGCUUGUUUUACUUUGGAGUGCUUGGUGAUCUGGAGGCCCAUUUGUGCCGUGGUUUCUGUAUUAAACCUUUAAAGGCGGAAUUCGCU